Molecule: ribosomal RNA, 459 nt
Filed under: uncultured bacterium
Lineage: Bacteria
Description: partial 16S ribosomal RNA
Rfam family: Bacterial small subunit ribosomal RNA
Source: RNAcentral
CCUACGGGUGGCAGCAGUGAGGAAUAUUGGUCAAUGGCCGAGAGGCUGAACCAGCCAAGCCGCGUGAGGGAAGACGGCCCUACGGGUUGUAAACCGCUUUUGUCGGGGGGCAAACCGAGUCACGUGUGACUCAUUGAGAGUACCCGAAGAAAAAGCAUCGGCUAACUCCGUGCCAGCAGCCGCGGUAAUACGGAGGAUGCGAGCGUUAUCCGGAUUUAUUGGGUUUAAAGGGUGCGCAGGCGGAGUUGAAAGUUAGCGGUAAAAUGUCGGGGCUAAACCCCGCACUGCCGUUAAAACUGCAUCCCUUGAGAGCGUGAGCAGUAGGCGGAAUGUGUGGUGUAGCGGUGAAAUGCAUAGAUAUCACGCAGAACUCCGAUUGCGAAGGCAGCAUACCGGCGUGUAACUGACGCUCAUGCACGAAAGCGUGGGUAUCGAACAGGAUUAGAUACCCUUGUAGUC